RNAcentral lists this ribosomal RNA (830 nucleotides) under Tubeufia filiformis. Its description in RNAcentral is "LSU rRNA". It matches the Rfam family "Eukaryotic large subunit ribosomal RNA", at positions 71 to 923 of the family's 3401-position model. Lineage: Eukaryota; Fungi; Ascomycota; Dothideomycetes; Tubeufiales; Tubeufiaceae. The record is from RNAcentral.
GGGAUUGCCUCAGUAACGGCGAGUGAAGCGGCAAUAGCUCAAAUUUGAAAUCUGCUCUUUUUGAGCCGAAUUGUAAUUUGUAGAGGAUGCUUCGGCUUACGUCUCGGUCUAAGUUCCUUGGAACAGGACGUCACAGAGGGUGAGAAUCCCGUUUGUGGCCGCGACUUCCGCCAUGUGAAGCUCCUUCGACGAGUCGAGUUGUUUGGGAAUGCAGCUCUAAAUGGGAGGUAUAUUUCUUCUAAAGCUAAAUACCGGCCAGAGACCGAUAGCGCACAAGUAGAGUGAUCGAAAGAUGAAAAGCACUUUGGAAAGAGAGUUAAAAAGUACGUGAAAUUGUUGAAAGGGAAGCGCUUGCGACCAGACUUGCCCGCGGAUGCUCAACCGGUCCUUCGGCCGGUGCACUCUUCCGCGGUCAGGCCAGCAUCAGUUCGAGUAGCCAGAUAAAGGCUUAGGGAAUGUGGCUCUCUUCGGGGAGUGUUAUAGCCCUUUGUGCAAUAUGGCUCACUUGGACUGAGGCCCGCGCUUCGGCUAGGAUGCUGGCGUAAUGGUCGUAAGCGGCCCGUCUUGAAACACGGACCAAGGAGUCUAACAUCUAUGCGAGUGUUUGGGUGUCAAACCCGUGCGCGAAAUGAAAGUGAACGGAGGUGGGAACCUUUUGGGUGCACCAUCGACCGAUCCUGAUGUCUUCGGAUGGAUUUGAGUAAGAGCAUAGCUGUUGGGACCCGAAAGAUGGUGAACUAUGCCUGAAUAGGGUGAAGCCAGAGGAAACUCUGGUGGAGGCUCGCAGCGGUUCUGACGUGCAAAUCGAUCGUCAAAUUUGGGUAUAGGGG